This is a long non-coding RNA of Oryctolagus cuniculus (rabbit), 8476 nucleotides long. RefSeq lists it as uncharacterized. Lineage: Eukaryota; Metazoa; Chordata; Mammalia; Lagomorpha; Leporidae. The record is from RefSeq and is a predicted model, not a curated record.
ACGCGCAGAGGCUGCGGAGGGGGCGUGUCGGAAACAGGACUUUUGAAACUUUUGGAAACGCGUGGGGCUGGGAACCGCCGUUGGUGUCGAGUGCGAAUUUCCAAAGCUGGGUGCGUUUUUUCAGUGGCGUCCUGAAAAGGCGUGCGAUCAUUUCUCCAUAAAAAUGAGGUUUUCUGCAAAACGAAACUGAGCGGGUAGCCUGGAGCCGGCUCUCCCACCGCUGACUUGUUCCGCGAGCUCCUGCCUCCGUGUGAUCCCGUCCCUGACCGGCGGUUUUCCUUGUGCUAAGGUCUGCUUUGAUGGUCACGAUUUUUGGGUUUAUUUUCGUGUUUGCAUGAUAGAUCCUUUGCUGUGUUUCUUUUUAACGUAUGAACCGCUGUAAGUGGUUCUGAUAAAUAGCUCCUCAGUCUCUUUACCCAAUCUUAUGUCGUAUUUGGGCCAUUUACAUUUAAUGUAAAUUUUGAGAUGGUUGGAUUUCAGCCUGUCCUUUUAUUAAUUUUUGUUUGUCCUAUGUUUUUCAAGUCUGUUUUCCUGAGUUUACUUUGAAUUACAGGGAUAUUUUUCAAAGUACCAUUUUAAUUUAUAUAUAGACUUUUUAAAUACAUGUGUGCAGUGGUUCGCUCUGCAUUGCUGCAAUGAACUACUUUUGAAGAAAAGCAGCUUAAUUUGGGUCAUAGGUCGGAGGUUCAAGUCGGAACAGCUUUGGAAAGGGACAGGGGGUGACUGGAGCACCGGUGUCUCGGUGGCCUCCCUCGCUCAUAAAUUCACCAGGAUGCAGUCAGGAGGACCCCACCCUGAUCUACUCCAGAGGUCCCACCUCUACAGAGCAGUUGGACUGAGUUUCCAGCCUCUCAAUACCGUUAACAGAAGACUUAACCGUGUGGGGAGGGGGAAGUCACAUACGAACCGUGGCAGUGUCUGCAUAGUUUUUGCAUUUUUCUUAGAAUUCUAUACAACUUAAAGUGAAAUAUAGAAACCAUAUGACCACAUAGGCUCCUUUACUGUCCCCUUCAGGUGCAAUUCUCAUAUAUUCUACAUCUGUAGAAACUGAAAAUCCUAUCACAUGAUGUCAUAAGUUUUUUUGCAAGAGACACUGACAAGCAAGCUCCCAAUGCUGGUUUACUGUCUGAAUACCCACAAUGGCCAGGUCCAGGCCAGUGCUGGAGCCAGGAAUGAGAUCCAGGUCUCCCAUGAGGGUGGUAGAACCCCAGGAACUUGGGCCACCACCUCCCAGGCUGAAGUCAGGAGGCAGAGCCAGGAACUGAACCCGAGUGUUCCAGUGUGGGGUAGACGUGUCCUAGCUGCUACACCAAAUACCCACCUCCCUACAAUUGUUUUUAAAUUGCAGCACUCACAUGUAUUUCACCAAACAUCUGCUUACCCAUACAUUUGCCAUUUCUAUUGCUUUCUUUCCUUGCUCUCGUUUUCCUUCUCAAUGAACUUCUUUUAACAUUUCUUCUAAGGCAGAUCUACGGCAGUGAGUUCUGUUUGUUUCCCUUCUUCUGAAAACGCCUUUAGCUCACCUUUCAUUCCUGAAGAAUAUUUGUUGAAGAAAGGACUGUGUUGGCUGUUGUUUUAAGCACUUUAUAAAUGUUGUUCCACUGUCUCUGUCUCCAUGGUUUUUGAUAACGAAUCUGUCAUCACUUAGCUGUUUGUUCUGUACACAAAGUGUUCACUGUCCCUUCCUGCUUUCAAAACCCAGCUUUCUUGACAUUUGGUUUCACCAGUUUACGAUGUGCCUGGUGUGCUUUCUGUUUUCCUUGUGGCAUUUGCUGUGAUGAACCUGCUUUAAGUAGAAUUUUAUGCAAAUAUAUGUCUUGACCAAAGUUUUGGAAGUUUCAGCCAUUUCUUCAAAUAUUUUGUCUUUCCAGUUUCUCUCUCCUUUUGGGGCUCCUAAAUGUAAAUAUUACUUACUGAUACUGCCCUACAGUUCUGCCAAGUUGUGUCCAAUUUUUAACUUUUCUAUCUAUUUUUCAGACUGGAUAAUUUGUUGAUGUGUCUCCAGAUUCAUGGACUUCUCCUUCAGUCAUCUGUUCUGUUGAACUCCUCUAGUGAAUUUUUCCUUUUGCUGUUGUAUUUUCAGUUCUAAAAUUUCCUUUUAUAGCUUCUGUACUGAGAACUUUGAUCUUCCACUCACUCCAGUGUUUACCUUUCCUCUCUGCAGGAUGAUCACAAGUCUGGAGUCUCUGAUUAUUCCAUCAGGAAACCUCAAAACCGACUUUGUUCAUGCCUCUUCCCUAGCGUUGCUUAUGUAUGCCAAGAAUUUUGGACUGCUUCCUGGAUAGUCUGAGUGAGGGCCUUUCCUCUCUAAGUCUUCAGAAGGUUUUUGUUUUGUUUGAGCAGCUGGUUGGUGUAGUUAGUUUCGGACCACAAUCGCUGGCCAGCUUUCUGUGGGCUCUGAUCCAGCGUCAGUGUCCAGUGCUUUAUGCAGCUGGUACUAGUCUGUCCUAAUAGUCCAUCACCCAGCAGCCAGCCUGAAACCUGGACGGUGGUCUACACUGUGUUUCACCUCCAGUCUUUGCUCAGUUUCUUCUGGGCAGUUUCACGUAUGCACACCUUGGGGGAUUUUAAACACAGAUCUAUUUUCUUCAGCUCCCUCCUAUGUAUGAUCCUACGCACACUCUUGAAUUCCCAGAGAUAAGUCCUAGGUGAUCCGACUAGAAAGUCAUGGCUUUUGCCUGCUCAUACCUCUCCCUGUGUCCCACCCUGUGUCUGCCAUGACUUUACCAGUGGGGAGAGAAGGGCGCUACGUAUGUUGCAUGUUCCCAGGUUCAUGUAGAGCUGGUGAGCCCACAGGCUCCACCUCUCACACGGUUCUACGAGGCAGGCAGGGAGGAAGGCAGGAAGGCAGGGCCGCUGCUCUUGGGAGGCUGUUCUGGAGCAGAACCUGCGAGUUCCUCCGUCCACCUGACUUCCUGGCCCUCUAGUAGAGCAGCACAUUGCUCCUUGGGUCCUUUCUGUGUCAGCUAGCAGUUCCCAUUAAGUGUCUGUGUGGGGUUUUUUACUCGGGUUGAUCUGGCUUCUUGAAUCUGUGGAGUCAUUUCUUUAAUCAGAUUUGAAAAUUCUUCAUCAUAUCUAAAAAUAAUUGUUCUGUCCUACUCCCCGCCCCCCCUUCCUCUGGCAGCUAAUUAAACAUGUUAGAGGAGCCAGUGUUGCGCAUAGCAGGAAAAGCCACCACCUGAAACGCCAACAUAAAUAUGGGUGCUGGUUCGAAUCCCAGCUGCUCCACUCCCGUUCCAGCUACGUGCUAAUGUGCCUAGGAAAGUAGUGGAAGAUGGCCCAAGUCCUUGGGCCCCUGCACCCAUGAGUGUGAGACCCGGAAGAAGCUCCUGGUUUUGGUCUGGCCCAGACCUGGCUGUUGUGGCCAUUUGGGGAGUAACCAGCAGACAGAUCUAUGUCUCUCCCUAACUCUGCCUUUGAAAUAAAUAAACUUUUUCUAAAAAUGUUAGAAUUUCUCUCACUAUAUGCUCUAGAUAAGUGUACUUCAAAAAGGUGAUGGAAAAUGGAAUCAGGAGAUGUUUUGGUGUGAAAAUUUUUAAAUCUGGUUUCAGUAAUAUACAUCUUCCAUGAACUUUUUGAAGACCUUUGGUCUAUCUUACUUCCACCUGUCGCUCCAACUGCAUUCUGGAUAAUUUCUCCUGAGCUCUUUUUCAGUAUAAACUCAUCCACUGGCUAUGUAUUAUUCUGCUAUUAAUUGUUUACUGAAUUUUAAUUUUUAUAUAAGCUUGCAAUAUUCAGUUUAUUCUCCAAAUGAGCUCCAUCACUUUUUAGUUUUUAUUUUAUGCAGGUGCCCUCACACUUACCUUUAUUUCUUUAAACACAAAAAGCAUAAAUACCCCAGUCUUUGUGAUUGUUUUCACUGUUCUAGUUCUUGCUUCCAGAAUCUGGCUUCCUUGUGUAUUUACUUAUUGUCUACUGUAUGUUAGUCGGUAUCCUAUUUGAAGAGUAGUGUGAAGCUACAAUGGAAAUACUUUUCUGCAGACAGGAUGUACACUUUUUCUUGGCGCCUGGAGGGAACACCUUACACCAAGUGUAGUGCUGCAUGCGACACUUUAGACUGUGCCGGCAGUCCUAAAUGUGCAUGUUUCAUACGCUCCACUGCCAUCCUGCACAGGCAGCCUUUGGGCGUCUCAGCCUGUUGGGCGAAGGUCUCCUGUUGGAUUCACCACCUCACGAGGGCCUUGCAGCUUUGAUUAUUGUCCCUAAUGCCGUAAGAGUGUCACAGUAGGAGCCCGUGCUCAUUUUUUCUCUUUACUUUUGGGCGGGGCAUUCCUUAUUAAAAUAUCUUUGAUGCUUUAAGAGGAUGUAAUCAGUUUUGGUUGUUUUUAAAAAGAGCAGGGAUCUAAGUAUCCUAGCAUGCAGUUUCUAGAAACAGCUUCCCUGAGGUGCGUCUUUGUUCCUACACAGAUAACAACUAUUUUUUCUCUUGGCAUUCUCUGCACUUAACACAUAUAAUUUGUGGCAGGGAAUCCAUAAAUUAUCAAUUUAAGCUAUUUUUAUCUAGAGCUGCUCAAACAAAUCUGUACUUGUUAUUUGCUAUUAGUUGCUACAUGUAACAAAACUUCAGUCUCAGAGGUUUAUUUUGUUAGAGUGUCCAAGGGUCAGGAAUUCCUAGGUGGCUUCAUUGGGUGGUUUCAAAAGUUGUGGUCAAGAUUUUGGCAGACACUGAAAUGUGGUUUGACAGGGUUGGAGGAUCCACUUCCACUCCACGUGCUGGAGGAUUCAGUUCUGCCCAUGAAGCUGCCCACGCCUGCAGCUCCGUCUCCUGAGCGCGAGUUAUCUAGUAGAAAGGGAGGAAGCUGGAGACAGACAGGCAUAUGGGGAAGAGGGAAAAUGCACAAGAGAUAGGAGCCGGAGUCUUCCAUAAUGUGCUCUCAGAAGUGACCUCCAUUACUUCUGUCACUCACAAAGACCACACUGUACAGACUGGGAGGGGACCACGCAAGGGUGUGAGUACCAGGCAGAGGGAGUCACAGGAGGUACUUUCAGAGGUUAACAUCUUACAAAACAGAACCCCCACCCCCCACCGGCAUUAUAUUAACAGCCUCAUGAUAAAGUACUUGAAUUAGGCCUAUUUUGUCGUAUGUAAAAAUCAUGAAAAUAGAGUUGUGAAUUUUAUUAAUGCAAAUGCAGAAAAUGCUUCCCUACAGGAAUUCAUUUUAAAUCACGUGUCAUUAGAAACUAAAACCAAAACAAACAUUAAUUGGGAACAGGACUGGAAACUACUGAAAAUAUGAUUUGGGAAAAAAUACCAAUGUGUCAGCUAGGUGGUAAAAGAUACAUUUAGAUAGCAAGGGCUUAGUGUCUCAUAGGAAAACAAAGUUUUAAAAGACAGCUCAAACAAAAAAUAACCUUAUCAGUAUUUUGGUCAUAAAAUUGCUAGGAAAAAAUAUUUUUCCUACUAAAACAUGUCAUAAUUCCAAAUAUGUGUUUUUCUUGUUUCUGUAGUUAAGGUGCUUGUGUCAACCACUGAGUAAAAAAGGUCUUACAGAAGCAAUGUAUCUUUAUUUUUUUAAUUAAUUAAUUAAUUACUUUUUUUGACAGGCAGAGAGUGGACAGUGAGAGAGAGAGACAGAGAGAAAGGUCUUCCUUUGCCGUUGGUUCACCCUCCAACGGCCGCCGUGGCCGGCGUGCUGCGGCAGCGCACCGCGCUGAUCCGAUGGCAGGAGCCAGGUGCUUCUCCUGGUCUCCCAUGGGGUGCAGGGCCCAAGCACUUGGGCCAUCCUCCACUGCACUCCCUGGCCACAGCAGAGAGCUGGCCUGGAAUAGGGGCAACAGGGACAGAAUCCGGCGCCCUGACCAGGACUAGAACCUGGUGUGCCGGCGCCGCAAGGCGGAGGAUUAGCCUAGUGAGCCGCGGUGCCGGCCCUUAAGCAAAGUAUCUUUAAGAUUCUAAAUAUGAGCCAUAUAACCCAAAGCAAGUGAUACUGUAAAAUUGUGUUCUUCAGCCUGCUUCAUUUUUUAUAAGAGGGAAGAUCAGCAGGAAUGUACUUCAAAGUGUGUGUGUGGAAAAGUGGAAUUAAAAACUAAGCAACAGAAUUUUUGAAAUCCAGGCAUAGCUUCUUCUCAUAUUACAUAUUUUCCAUGAACUUCUGAGUAUUCUCAUAUAGUCACUGUGGAAAACAGUACAGAGGUUCCUCAAAAAUUGAAAACAGAACUACUGUAUUAUCCAGCAGUCUCACUACUGGGUAUACAUGCAAAGAAAAUGAAGUUAGUGUGUCGAGACACCCACACUCUCAUGUCUACUCCAACACUGGUCGUUAGCAGCAAGAUGGAAUCAAUCUAAGUGCAAACCAGUGGAUAAAUCGAGGACGACACUGGAACAGACACAGGAUGGAAUUCAGCCUUUAAAAAGAGGGAAAUCCUGUAUUUUGUGACAACAUGGAUGAACCUGGGGGACGUUACGUUAAGUGAAGGAAGUCAAGCCCAGUAAGACAAGUACUGAAUGAUCUCAUUUAUAUGGAAUCUAAACAAGCUCACGCUCAUAGAAGAGAGGAGAAUGCCGGUUGCCAGGGACUGGGGUGGGGGAAGGGGACUGAGGAGACACUGGUUACGAGAUACAAAAUUUGAGUUAGGUGGAAUAAGCUCGAGAGAUCUACUGUACUAUACCUGGAAAUCUAGGAAUGUCAGUGGAUUUUAUACUCGGAAAAGAUAAGGGAAGGAAAUAAGCCUGUUUUGCUGCUACUGCACCUAAAUCUUGGAAAGAGUCAUAGGAAAAUGCUUUUAAAAAGGGUCACCUGUUGGGACUGAGGAGUGGAAAGAUUAAGGGUGGUGUGUACGUGGUGCGAGGCAAAACUUAACAUUAGGUUUUAAUAUUUGUUUUGACCUUUGGCAUCAUGUAUAUAUUACAUGAAACUUUUCUUAUUUCGCAAAAAAAGAGAACAGUAUGGACUGGAAGUUUGUUUUAUUUCAAGAUAUUGUCUGUAAAAUUUGAAACACAUUAAAGUUAGGAUUACUGUUAAAAAAUAAAAUUUCUAUUCUUUAUAUAUGAAAUAUCACAAUCUAGGCUGCUUAUUCCAGGGAGUUGAAACACCAGCCUGCUACUUUAUGACUAAUUAAAAGGUGGAAUAUUCAAACACCAAAGUCCAGUUUAAAAAGAAAAUUCAGUCCUUCUACAAGAUUACAUACUUCUCGGAUUUUCAACUCUUGUCCAGACAAGCUAAACACACCCACUGCCACAGGUCCUCAGUGUCCCGUCUCGUCAGUCUCCGCCACCUGGUCACAGUCCCUCUCUCUACGGCAGCUAUUAAAAACUGCCGCUACAUGUUAAUGAUAUGCUUCACACAUUUGGCUCCACAAGGGAGAGAACUAUUUUAUUGAUCUUUCAACAAAUGAACCCUAAUAAAGUGCUCUGUACAUAUCAAGUACACACACACAGUUUGUCAGAAAGCUGCAUAUGUCACUUUCAAAACUGAGAGAAGAGUAGUAUUAAAAAGCCUAAGACCAAAAAUAGAUCAUUAUAGACUGAGUACAAAGAGCCACUGUAUUUCUCAGCCUUCACUAAGAUUUCAACUUAAGUACCGACGUGAACAACACGACUGAAGGGUGUAACAACGCAGUCAGGGCCGUGAACUGCCUCCACAGAGUGCCUGAAGAUGUGCUCACCCUGAGGGACACCACUCCCAUUCUAGCUGAAUGUGAAGACUUCAUGGAGACAAACCCCAACUCUUCAUUCUGUCAUGGCAGAGGCUAACGUAAAUGCAGUUUUCUUCAACUGUGCAAUUACUUCCACCGCAAUAUAAACACACACUAUACGAUGAAAAAGUUUGAUAUGCAAUCAUUUUUAUCUCACACCAUUUCAAUAAAUUUCACAGGUUAUGAAUAUGCUGCCAUUUUAUUUGAUAUCUGCAACAUUUUACACUGUGUAUAAAGUAGCUGUUUCCAGAAGACUGCUUCUCCUUCACCCCGUGUCUUUGGCUAGUUCUGCAGCUGUAGGGUUCUACUCUCAGUAGGGAGCACCUGCCCAAACUGAUUGACAUUCUCAGUCUCUCCUAGCCUGACACUUCAGAUCCUGAGUUACAAACCUGAUUUAUCUUCAAGUUGAAAUGCUUCAUAAAUAUUUUUCUUAAGACUAUUUAGUGCAGUUUCUUUUUCUUGAGAUACACAGUGUUUUUGAUACAAAAACAUUUCAUGUAACAAGAAAAAACCGUCAAGCUGAUUACAUUCCAUACACCUCAAAUGACAGAAUAUAUUAAUAGAUGCCCUUUAUUUUCUUUCUCCCCUUUCCCCACGACCCCCAAUAAUUUCGUUUUUGCUGUUUGAAGAGGAGCGCUCUGUCAAGUUUCAAAUGUAAAGACUUUAACUUGUGUUAAUAUCCUUUUAUAAAAAUAACCAGCAUAUAAAGAAUUUAAAGUAUGAAAAAGUUCCUUAGGAUUACCAGGAAAUUUCUACAGAUUAAUGUGAUAGUGAAAAAAAAAAAAAAAGAAAGAAAAUAAACAUCUGCUUCAGGCUGCGUCUGUGGCUACACCAUGCCGAC